CGGUGUUAAGCUACUUAUGUAGGUUUGACCCACAUAUAUAUACCAUCAACUAAUUAAUUAAUGACCUUGCUUCUAUUAGUAUGUGUGUAUACAUGUGUAUACUUGUAUAUGUAUAUGUAUAUGCUAUGCGAAGCUUCAUCAGAAUACUUGCUUCACCGUAAAAUGUUCUACACAUGUGGCCGGCCAUUUUAUGCUGCCACUUGGUACGGAACCCUUAAUC
Molecule: long non-coding RNA, 220 nt
Filed under: Carica papaya (papaya)
Lineage: Eukaryota; Viridiplantae; Streptophyta; Magnoliopsida; Brassicales; Caricaceae
Description: long non-coding RNA (CPAP_LNC009824)
Source: RNAcentral